UACGUAGGGGGCAAGCGUUGUCCGGAUUUAUUGGGCGUAAAGAGCGUGUAGGCGGCCGUACAGGUCAGCUGUGAAAACUCGAGGCUCAACCUCGAGACGCCGAUGGAAACCAUCUGACUAGAGUCCGGAAGAGGAGAGUGGAAUUCCUGGUGUAGCGGUGAAAUGCGCAGAUAUCAGGAAGAACACCCGUGGCUAAGGCGGCUCUCUAGUACGGUACUGACGCUGAGACGCGAAAGCGUGGGGAGCGAACAGG
Molecule: ribosomal RNA, 253 nt
Filed under: uncultured bacterium
Lineage: Bacteria
Description: partial 16S ribosomal RNA
Rfam family: Bacterial small subunit ribosomal RNA
Source: RNAcentral